This is a non-coding RNA of Lasiosphaeria miniovina, 84 nucleotides long. Lineage: Eukaryota; Fungi; Ascomycota; Sordariomycetes; Sordariales; Lasiosphaeriaceae. The record is from the annotation of a RefSeq genome assembly.
GUCCGUAUGGUCUAGUGGUAUGACGUUCGCCUCACACGGUUACGUGGUCGCGACAGGUCCCAGGUUCGAUCCCUGGUGUGGACA